This 29-nucleotide non-coding RNA is filed under the name Rattus norvegicus (Norway rat). Lineage: Eukaryota; Metazoa; Chordata; Mammalia; Rodentia; Muridae. The record is from RNAcentral.
UGCCUUGAUUUAACCGGCAUCGGGACAAA